This 4417-nucleotide long non-coding RNA is filed under the name Nicotiana benthamiana. Its description in RNAcentral is "long non-coding RNA (NBEN_LNC013072)". The record is from RNAcentral. Lineage: Eukaryota; Viridiplantae; Streptophyta; Magnoliopsida; Solanales; Solanaceae.
GACCUUUGGACAAUCAUCAAAGGAGGUUCAACAAUUUCCACUUAUGGAUUCAGGUUAGCUUCCGCUCAUGUAGUUAUAAUUCCGAAUUGUUCAAUAUGAAGGUUAUUGUAUUUUGUUGGAAUCAUAAUCCUAACAUAAAUGUGAAACACAUAGAUUUAAUUUAAACUUUUUUUGAAUGUCAUUCAGAAAUUAAAUUUCGAAUACUUUCUUAUUAAGGUUGGUGAUGUUGUUGGAGGUUAAGAAUAAAUGGUUAUGUUCUUGCCAUGACCCGGAAUCUUCAUCCUCGAAAUCAUAAUGUCGCCUAACAUCAUACUUGCUAGGCAAGCCACCUUUAGAGAUUUAUUAGCCAAUUCCUUUACGGUUCAAUGUAUAACAAUAAACAAGCUAAAACAAAUCGAAUGAACGCGGAAGUAAAUAACCACUUUGAUUAUAUGCUAUUACUAUCCAGAAUUAGGAGUCACAAUUCAUGAACAUUCUAAUAUUUUACUACAAGUAUUUAUCUGAAAGAAAAUAUAACUAUUUGCGAAAUAAAGGAAGCAAUAAAGGAUGAGGUAUAGAAAGGGACACGAGGGCCUGCUGACGCCGAAUUGUCUACCUUGGGUCACCUAGCUGAUAAAUACUAUAACUAACCUCUUGAUCAGCUCAACCAGCUCCAAAAUCUGCACAGAAAAUGCAGUAUCAGUACAACCGACCACAUGUACUGGUAAGUGCCGAGCCUAACCUUGAUGAGGAGUGACGAGGCUACGGCCAGGCAAUCACAACAUAACCUGCAUACAGUAUAUAAUAAAAGUAUAAAGAAAGACAGGAUAAAAUAGAAUAGAGCAGUGACUUGCAAUAAGUGAAUACAAUUCUCGAAGCAUAUCAUGUGUAUAGCUACUAUCAAUUCUUAGGUGUAAUUUAAGACUACGUACAGCUAACACAAUCAAGGAAAAUUACAAACAUAUAGGUUGUUGCGGCGUGCAACCCGAUCUCACCGUAUAGCUCAUAUUCCUCCCUUAUUAACAUAAACAACAGAAUAUAAGUAAAAGUAUUGCAGCGUGCAACCCAAUCUCACAAUAAUCACAUUCACAUUUCACCCUUAUUACACCACAAUUCACCCUUAUUACACCUCAAAUCACUCUUAUCACACCAAUUGCGGGUCGCUAACCCAAUCCCACCAUAUCAGUAUUAGUAUUUAGUACAUAUAACAAUUUCACGAGUCAAAUCACAUAACUUUUCACAAGGCUUAACUUCUAACCAAACAAUUAGAAAGAUUGUACAUUAUGAAUCUUUACACAAGUAAUACUACUCAGCGAGACUAAUCCAAAAUAUAUCAUAAAAGUACCGAUAACCAGCCUAAUCAAAUAAUAGGAGACAACGAAGUUACAAUAUAACUAAUACACUCAACAAAGAGAAGCAAUAUCUAUUAGUUAGCAAUUAAGUAUGGAAAUACAAGUAAAUCAUGUAGCAGUUUAGGACAGGAAAAGGGAGAAUAUGAGAAGAACGGAAAGAAACAAGCAAAGACAGAUAAAUUGGCGUCGCAUAAGUACUCGUCACCUCACAUAUGCGCCGCUCACAUGGAUUUCAUUUUAGCAAAUAAUUCUAGGGUUCCUAAUGCCUCAAGUCAAAGUUAGACACGAUACUUAUCUCACUCCAAAGGCCACUCAAUGCUCAAAUACUAUUUUUUCUCUAAUAUCUACCUCCAAACCACUCAUGUCUAGCUACAAUUAACUCAAUGACAUUAAUUAUUGCUAAAAGAAUCAACUACAAUGCAUAAAUUUAGAUUUUUCUAACUUUCUCCCAAAAAGUCAAAAACUGACCCGGGCUCGCUUGGUCAAAUCCCGAGGAUCAGACUAAAAUAAAUUUGCCCAUUCACCCUCGAGCCCAGAUAUAUAAUUAGUUUUUGAAUCCGACCUCAAUUUGAGAUCUAAAUCCCCAAAUUUCACAAUCCCUAGUUCCUACAAAAAAAAUUCCUAGUUCCACCAUAAAAAUCUUAGAUUCUAGGUUGAAAUCUUGUAAAAUGAAGUAAAAGAUUGAAAGGAACUAGUUCAAAAUCACUUACCUAUGAUUUGGGGAAGAAAAGUUCUUUGGAAAAUCGCCUCUUUAGGUUUUGAAAAUUUGAAGAAUGGGAGAAAAAUUCCAUUUAAGUCUCUUUUCAUCAGCUGUAGAUGUUGCAAAUGUGAUAUGGUCUUCGUAAAUGCGAAGCAGGAAAAUGCGAAAAAUUCAUCGCAUUUGCGAGGUCCCCCACACUUUUGCUUCCUUCGCAAAUACAAUGAAUUUCUCCCAUUUGCCUGCUGAGCUGACAACAAAUGUGAUCCAAUGAUCGCAAAUGCGAAGACUACCUUCCCUUAUCCCCAUUGCAAAUGCGGAGGAAAGUUCACAAAUACGAACAUAAGGUGGCCUAGCUUUUCUUCGCAUUUGCAAUGAGAAGCUCGCAGAUACGCACUCUAUAGAGAUCGCAAAUGUGAUGAUUGACCUCGCAUGCGAGGUCUGAGGCCUGCAACAAAAUCUAUUGCUCUAGUAAUGUUCUAAGUCCCAUUUUUUCUUCGUAGCUUAUCCGAAACUCACCCGGGCCCUCGGGACUCCAAACGAUAAGUGUUUAAUGGGCGAGCUGGGACGGGCUGUACACAAAAAUAAUUUAGCCCGUACGGUUAUCGUUCCAGGUUGUUAGUAGGCUGAAUUAGCGGGUUGUUAGAGAGUUGUAUUUUUGCGGGUUUUAUUGGGCCCGUAUAAGUUUGGGCUUAAACGGGCCGGACCAGGCUGUGCUAAAUUUUUUUAGAUUAAAUUUUGUUAGAAACGGUACACAAAUCUUAAAAAAAAUAAAAGAAAUAAAAAUUUAACCCAUUAACGGGUUGAACCGGGCUUCAGCCUGUUAACAACCCGUUAACGGGUUAGAGGGCUUAGCGGAUUCUGGCAUCGGUAUCCAAAAUAUAUUCAUCUAAAAUCCGCUCCCCGUCCAACCCAUCCCAACCCGUUCUAAUGCUAUAGUAGCAGGCUGAACCGGGCUGACCUGGGUUGAAGGGAUGAAAACGGGUCAGUCAGGCCCGAUUAACAGGUAUACUCCAAACUAAACAUGCACACAAGUCUUAAAACAUCACACUAACUUGCUCGUGCGAUGAAAUCACCAAAAUAACACCUAGAACUACGAAUUUAACACCAAAUUAAAUGAAAUUCUCAAGAACGCUUUAAAUUUCUAUUUUCUCAACCGAACACCCGAAUCACUUCAAACCUACUCCGUUUCUUCCCAAAUUUCACAAAUAGGUUAUAAAUAUUAUAUUGGACCUAAAGGGCUCCGAAAUUAAAAUACGGAUCUGGUAUCAACAAGGCCAAUCAAUUCUUUAAAACUAUUAGAUUUUCAGACUUUUAAUUUUCAACAAAAAUUCAUAACUCGAGCUACCGACCUCGGAAUUCGAUUUCGAGCAUACGCCCAAGUUUCAUAUUUCAUUACAAUACCAGUGGGACAAUCAAAAUACUGAUCCGGAUCCGUUUACUCAAAAUGUUGACCGAAGUCAACUGAAUUUAACUUUUAAGGCAAAAAUUCUUAUUUUUAUCAACUUUCAGCAUAAAAGUUUUUCGAAAAAUACUUUCGGACUGCCACAUAAAUCGAGAAGGAUAAAAAUGAGAUUUUAAGGCUUAAGAAUACAUAAUCGAAUUCUAAAAUAUAAAAUGAUCUUUUGGGUCAUCACAGUUCUUUUGCAACUUACAAAUAUGUUUUUCUUCUAUAAAUUUUGUAUGACCAAAAUGGCUUUUUAACAAUUCAAUUCCAAUUUCAUUCAUUAGAUAUAACAUGUGACAAGUUGCUAUUUUGAUUAUGACUUGAAAUUUGAAUGAUAUCUUCUAUAGCUAACCAUGAUAAAUGCUUUAUUGUGUGGGGUUUGAUUGCUUUAAAGCAGUAGAAUCAAAGUGCUCAUAAACAAGAAUCGGCAAAUGAUUUUUUUAUAUAUUUAUUUCUAUAAGAAAACGGGUUACUUUUGCAUAAAGUCAUUAAAUUUUUAGCCCGCAUCUGAAACUAUUUACAUAUGAUAGCCAUAAAAAUAUAUAAAAUUUGUACAUUUAUUAUAUAUACUUCAUCCGUUCAAUUUUUCUUGGUGCAUUUUGACUUUUCACGCUCCAUAAGAAAUAACAAAUAAAGUACAUAAUUUACCAUGAGGCACAUAUUAAUUGAUGCAUAUUUUUUGGAUUUGAGAAAAUAAUUUAAAAUGAGUAAUAAAUAUUGUGGGUAUAACAUGAAAUUUCUUUGGUCUUCUUGAUGGUGUAAAGUGUCAACUAAAAAUAAAAAUCUAUUUUUACUAUACAUGCCAUGUAAAAGUGAACAGGGGGAGUAACAUAAAAAAAAUUGUAUAUGUACAAAAAUUUAUAUUUUUUACCUGUUUUCUUAGAGCGGCUACAACUAGAAGUCGAUCUGGUACCUUCCUCAGGGUACUCAACAACUAGAGUC